Molecule: transfer RNA, 76 nt
Filed under: Phrynosoma platyrhinos (Desert horned lizard)
Lineage: Eukaryota; Metazoa; Chordata; Lepidosauria; Squamata; Phrynosomatidae
Description: tRNA-OTHER
Source: RNAcentral
GAGCCCUUUUGGCACAGUGGUUAAAUGCCUGUACUGCAGAUCACAAGGUUGCGAGUUCAAUACUAGCCAGGGCUCA